This 402-nucleotide ribosomal RNA is filed under the name uncultured bacterium. RNAcentral describes it as "bacterial SSU rRNA". It matches the Rfam family "Bacterial small subunit ribosomal RNA", at positions 355 to 774 of the family's 1533-position model. The record is from RNAcentral.
UGGGGAAUAUUGGACAAUGGGGGAAACCCUGAUCCAACAAUGCCGCGUGAGUGAAGAAGGCCUUAGGGUUGUAAAGCUCUUUCGCCCGCGAAGAUAAUGACGGUAGCGGGAGAAGAAGCCCCGGCUAACUCCGUGCCAGCAGCCGCGGUAAUACGGAGGGGGCUAGCGUUGUUCGGAAUUACUGGGCGUAAAGCGUGCGUAGGCGGUCUGUUAAGUCUGCUGUGAAAUCCCCGGGCUCAACCUGGGAAUGGCAGUGGAAACUGGCGGGCUAGAGUACGGUAGAGGAUGGUGGAAUUCCCGGUGUAGCGGUGAAAUGCGUAGAGAUCGGGAGGAACACCAGUGGCGAAGGCGGCCAUCUGGACCAGUACUGACGCUGAGGCACGAAAGCGUGGGGAGCAAACA